AUUUGAGAGUACUUAAGGAAAAGACAUGAUCAUUUAGAGCCAGCCUAAGUUUACCAAAAACAGGUUAAGCCACACUAACUUUAUUUUUCAGAUAAGAUUAGCAUAUUCGUAGUCUGGAAAAUGCUAUACAAAGAAUGUAAAGCAUGAAACUACUUGUGGACCAAAUGAAAAACUGUGGAGCAGAUUAUGAUGCAGUUAGACCUUGCUUGAAUGACUUUGACCCACAAAAGCAGAGUAAUUUAUCCCUACUUACAGAGAGAUUGCCCUACGUGUAACAGCUGCAUACAAAAAAGUUAUAAAAUUAUCAUUGGUUUAACAAGGAUAAGUGAAAAACAUUAAAAUUCUCCAACUGAACAAGGUGUGUCUGUUUCAUUGAUUGGCUGACUGUCAAAUCGGAAUCUGAUCUGCCCCAUUGACAAUGCCUUGGGCUUUUCCUCGGCCAUGGCAAAUGCCAGAGUCUUCUCAGCUGCCGCUUCACAAAAGAGGUACCAGCUUCUCACUGAACGAACACAGUGCAGCACCAGGAGUGACAGAAGAAGGAGGCGGCAGCGGUGGUUGAGGGACAGGGUGCGUGCACGUCCAAGUACAGUUCUUAAAAUGU
Molecule: long non-coding RNA, 601 nt
Filed under: Homo sapiens (human)
Lineage: Eukaryota; Metazoa; Chordata; Mammalia; Primates; Hominidae
Description: HSALNT0209392
Source: RNAcentral